RNAcentral lists this ribosomal RNA (346 nucleotides) under Chaetoceros curvisetus. RNAcentral describes it as "partial Bacterial large subunit ribosomal RNA". It matches the Rfam family "Bacterial large subunit ribosomal RNA", at positions 2570 to 2912 of the family's 2925-position model. The record is from RNAcentral. Lineage: Eukaryota; Bacillariophyta; Thalassiosirophyceae; Chaetocerotales; Chaetocerotaceae.
GGUUGGGCUGUUCGCCCAUGAAAGCGGUACUCGAGCUGGGUUCAGAACGUCGUGAGACAGUUCGGUCCCUAUCCGCUGCGCGCGGAGGAAUCUUGAGAAGGGCUGUCUUUAGUACGAGAGGACCGAGACGGACUGACCUCUGGUGUGCCAGUUGUUCUGCCAAGAGCAUGGCUGGUUGGCUACGUCGGGUUGUGAUAACCGCUGAAAGCAUCUAAGCGGGAAGCACGCUUCAAGAUAAGGGUUCCCACAGGAGUGUUCCUGGUAAGGUCCCCGAGAGAUGAUCGGGUUGAUAGGCCAGACGUGGACGCAUCGUAAGGUGUGGAGCUGACUGGUACUAAUAGACCGA